AUUUAAAUAGUUUAUGAAAAUAUUGAUUUGUGAUGUCAAAGAUAUGAAGAGUCAUUUUAAAUC
This 63-nucleotide transfer RNA is filed under the name Puliciphora borinquenensis. RNAcentral describes it as "tRNA-His". Lineage: Eukaryota; Metazoa; Arthropoda; Insecta; Diptera; Phoridae. The record is from RNAcentral.